This 307-nucleotide long non-coding RNA is filed under the name Homo sapiens (human). RNAcentral's name for it is "HSALNT0351357". The record is from RNAcentral. Lineage: Eukaryota; Metazoa; Chordata; Mammalia; Primates; Hominidae.
ACAGCACUACACAUCCAAGUGUCUGCCAUCUGCGCACUCAGGAAUACAUGUGGCUCUGGGCCCGGACAUCAUCGACUCAGUUGUUUUAGUUUCACUUUGGACAUUCAGAGCUGCCUUUUGAUAUGAGGUUGGAUUUCGUGGGAGAGAGACCCAGAGCCAGAGAUUUGUGUACUGGAAGUUUAUUGUGGGACUUUUGGGAGUAAGACCCAGGAGAGAGUGAAGGAAGAACUGGCAGAGAAAGAAGCUGAUCUGCAAUUCAGUAGCAAUGAAGGCCACAGUCAGUCCUUUGGGGAGCUCUGGAGCUGGG